GCGUGCGCAGGCGGUUAUGUAAGACAGAUGUGAAAUCCCCGGGCUCAACCUGGGAACUGCAUUAGUGACUGCAUAGCUGGAGUACGGCAGAGGGGGAUGGGAAUUCCGCGUGUAGCAGUGAAAUGCGUAGAUAUGCGGAGGAACACCGAUGGCGAAGGCAAUCCCCUCGGGCCUGUAACUGACGCUCAUGCACGAAAGCGUGGGGAGCAAACAGGAUUAGAUACCCUAGU
RNAcentral lists this ribosomal RNA (230 nucleotides) under uncultured bacterium. RNAcentral describes it as "partial 16S ribosomal RNA". It matches the Rfam family "Bacterial small subunit ribosomal RNA", at positions 565 to 791 of the family's 1533-position model. The record is from RNAcentral.